UGAAAGGGUGCAGAUCCCCUUGCAGAAAGGGAACAGCAGAUCCUUUGGGAAAAGGAGCAUCCGUCUGCUGAUCUCUUCCAGCAACGACCCACAGCCAUGAUCAGGGUCACCUCUACCCCCACUGGUCCUCCCUGAGGACUCCUGGCCCUGCAACAACACAUCCCUUCCUGGCAGGGGGUGAGGGAUGCAAAAAAUCCAUCUGGAAGAGGUUUUUGCCUUUGUUACUUGUAAUGAAGGUGAGCUGUAAGCCCACAGUUGCCUCAUCCUUUUGGCCAUGCUUCCCAACUGAUUUGGGUUCUAUUAUUAGUAGCUGAUGUGCUGGUGGAGUCACUCUCCUCCUAACUCUGCUAAUUAAUCAACGUGCCCYGUGACAGCUCCUGGCCAUUAAAUAAUAUUCAUUAGUAUCCAGACCCCAACAGUAUGGAUGAACCCAUCUAUCUUCAUUAGCUCUUGGAUUUCAACAUCAGGAGCAGGAGCCAAAAGGGACAGUAAAAGGGCACUUUUCAUCCUUAUCCCAGUGAAAACUGACCUUGAUGAUUUUCUGCCUGUUGUGUGUUGGUCAGAGGAGAAGAUGGGUAGUAGUUUCAGCUCCUCUCCUAAUCCCAGGUGAUUAUUCUUUAGGAAAAAGGAGACAGGGUGCUCUUUAAAGGUGGUAAAUAAUAUGAUUAUCUUCAUUUUGUAAGAAAUAAGAGAAUGUCUCUUGGGUCAUGAGGGAAAGUGAAGCUCAACGUAUAUCAAUGCCCGAAUUACCUUCCUUCUCCUAACAAUUAACUUGGCCAGUGGUGAAAGCACUUCUGCACACAGGUAACCCUAAAUUUGCCCAACCUGUAUGCACAGCUCAAAACCAGGAAGGAGGAGYUACACUUCUUGUUAACAUUUCCCAAUGCAGCCAAACAUCUGGUGUUUUCCUGGGAAGCCACAGCUGCAUGCUCACCCUUGCUCCCCAAAAUGAGAGGGUAUGGCUGUCCUUGCUCAUCCCUGAGGUUAUUUCCUGAAUGUUCCUGCAACGUGGCAAAUACUCAGUCAUGUUGGGAAGUGGUGUCAUUUCCUUCCUGCCAGGUGAGUCUGCCCCAAAGCAAUUCCUCCUUUUGUCAGAUUAAUAUGAUCUAGGUUGGAGAGCCAAGAGGACUCAGAGAGGCCUCCUGAGAUGUUGAAGUUUGUCCCCUGCUCUUGGGUUAUACAAUACGAUCCUCUGGUCCCCCAUGGAUGUCCUGGGGGUGGUGGAUUUGUCCUCUGUUAGCAAUCCCAUGGAUGACCCAGGGAGGGACUGUGCAGUGGACAAUUUCCCAAUGUCUCUCAGACCUUUUGGGCCUUGCUCCCCACAGAAAUGUGGGUUUUGGAGAUGAACAAGAGAUGACAUUUUUGCUCCUCAGUCUGCUGUACUCAGGCUUUUGUGGUUUKCUCUCUCAUUUUCCUGUAGUGUUCCUGGAAUUAAUUUUGUUCCCUCCUCCUGCAGAUCUUCACUUGGAUCCACCUCUGUUGAUAUGGGUCUGCUGAGAAGAUGAAAAUCAGUCAUUUGCCUGGAGCCACCACUCGUUGCACUUGCCAGCCAAAUUUUCAAAAGAGCCCAGUUUGCUGACAUAAAUGGGGUUGCUGAUGUGCCGAAGGAGAAGGAAGCGCCGGAGAACAUAUUCCUCCCUGGGUGCAUGAAGAUGGAAAAUUGGAGGAGAAUUGGAGAAAAUAAAGAAGCGGACGCAGCUGGAAAUUUUUGGGAAUGGAAA
Long non-coding RNA from Malurus melanocephalus (red-backed fairy wren), 1721 nucleotides. RefSeq lists it as uncharacterized. The transcript has 3 exons. Lineage: Eukaryota; Metazoa; Chordata; Aves; Passeriformes; Maluridae. The record is from RefSeq and is a predicted model, not a curated record.